This is a small nucleolar RNA of Vicia villosa (hairy vetch), 105 nucleotides long. RefSeq annotates it as small nucleolar RNA Z107/R87. The transcript has a single exon. The record is from RefSeq and is a predicted model, not a curated record. Lineage: Eukaryota; Viridiplantae; Streptophyta; Magnoliopsida; Fabales; Fabaceae.
GAUCACAGUGAUGACCCCAUGAAGUUCAAGUUGAACAGACCGGAAAGCAAGGUUUUCUCUAUGAGAUUGCUUUGCGUGUCGAUAACCCCGAUGGACUUAGUGAUC